RNAcentral lists this ribosomal RNA (508 nucleotides) under uncultured bacterium. RNAcentral's name for it is "partial 16S ribosomal RNA". It matches the Rfam family "Bacterial small subunit ribosomal RNA", at positions 355 to 853 of the family's 1533-position model. The record is from RNAcentral.
UGGGGAAUUUUGGACAAUGGGCGAAAGCCUGAUCCAGCAAUGCCGCGUGUGUGAAGAAGGCCUUCGGGUUGUAAAGCACUUUUGUCCGGAAAGAAAUCCUCUGGGUUAAUACCUCGGGGGGAUGACGGUACCGGAAGAAUAAGCACCGGCUAACUACGUGCCAGCAGCCGCGGUAAUACGUAGGGUGCAAGCGUUAAUCGGAAUUACUGGGCGUAAAGCGUGCGCAGGCGGUUUUGUAAGACGGAUGUGAAAUCCCCGGGCUUAACCUGGGAACUGCAUUCGUGACUGCAAGGCUAGAGUAUGGCAGAGGGGGGUAGAAUUCCACGUGUAGCAGUGAAAUGCGUAGAGAUGUGGAGGAAUACCGAUGGCGAAGGCAGCCCCCUGGGCCAAAUACUGACGCUCAUGCACGAAAGCGUGGGGAGCAAAACAGGAUUAGAUACCCUGGUAGUCCACGCCCUAAAACGAUGUCAACUAGUUGUUGGGGAUUCAUUUCCUUAGUAACGUAGCU